This 954-nucleotide ribosomal RNA is filed under the name uncultured bacterium. Its description in RNAcentral is "bacterial SSU rRNA". It matches the Rfam family "Bacterial small subunit ribosomal RNA", at positions 8 to 973 of the family's 1533-position model. The record is from RNAcentral.
AGAGUUUGAUCCUGGCUCAGAGUGAACGCUGGCGGCGUGCCUAACACAUGCAAGUCGAACGAGAACGGACUUAAGUUUACUUAAGUUGUCAGCUAAGUGGCGCACGGGUGAGUAAUAUAUAGUUAACCUGCCUCAAAGAAGAGAAUAAUUGUUGGAAACGACUUGUAAUGCUCUAUAUGCCUUUAUCACAUAAGUGAGCAAGGGAAAUAUUUAUAGCUUUGAGAUGGGACUGUACGGUACCAGAUAGUUGGUGAGGUAAUGGCUCACCAAGUCUAUGACGCCUAACUGGUUUGAGAGGAUGAUCAGUCACACUGGAACUGAGACACGGUCCAGACUCCUACGGGAGGCAGCAGUGGGGAAUAUUGCACAAUGGAGGAAACUCUGAUGCAGCAACGCCGCGUGGAGGAUGACACAUUUCGGUGCGUAAACUCCUUUUAUUAGGGAAGAUAAUGACGGUACCUAAUGAAUAAGCACCGGCUAACUCCGUGCCAGCAGCCGCGGUAAUACGGGGGGUGCAAGCGUUACUCGGAAUCACUGGGCGUAAAGAGCAUGUAGGCUGAUUAGUAAGUUGGAAGUGAAAUCCUAUGGCUCAACCAUAGAACUGCUUCCAAAACUGCUUAUCUAGAGUAUGGGAGAGGUAGAUGGAAUUUCUGGUGUAGGGGUAAAAUCCGUAGAGAUCAGAAGGAAUAUCGAUUGCGAAGGCGAUCUACUGGAACAUUACUGACGCUGAGAUGCGAAAGCGUGGGGAGCAAACAGGAUUAGAUACCCUGGUAGUCCACGCCCUAAACGAUGCACACUAGUUGUUGCUAUGCUAGACAUAGCAGUAAUGCAGUUAACACAGUAAGUGUGCCGCCUGGGGAGUACGGUCGCAAGAUUAAAACUCAAAGGAAUAGACGGGGACUCGCACAAGCGGUGGAGCAUGUGGUUUAAUUCGACGAUACGCGAAGAACCUUA